GCAUGGUUGUCGUCAGCUCGUGCCGUGAGGUGUCGGCUAAGUGCCAUAACGAGCGCAACCUCCAUCAUUAGUUACCAUCAGGUAAGGCUGGGGACUCUAAUGAGACUGCCAUCGUAAGAUGUGAGGAAGGUGGGGAUGACGUCAAAUCAGCACGGCCCUUACGUCCGGGGCGACACACGUGUUACAAUGGGUGGUACAAAGGGCAGCUACCUGGCGACAGGAUGCUAAUCUCGAAAACCGCUCUCAGUUCGGAUCGGAGUCUGCAACUCGACUCCGUGAAGCUGGAUUCGCUAGUAAUCGCGCACCAGCCACGGCGCGGUGAAUACGUUCCCGGGCCUU
Molecule: ribosomal RNA, 339 nt
Filed under: uncultured Proteiniphilum sp.
Lineage: Bacteria; Pseudomonadati; Bacteroidota; Bacteroidia; Bacteroidales; Dysgonomonadaceae
Description: bacterial SSU rRNA
Rfam family: Bacterial small subunit ribosomal RNA
Source: RNAcentral